UACGGGGGGGGCAAGCGUUGUUCGGAUUUACUGGGCGUAAAGGGCGCGUAGGCGGCGCGGUAAGUCACUUGUGAAAUCUCUGAGCUUAACUCAGAACGGCCAAGUGAUACUGCAGUGCUAGAGUGCAGAAAGGGCAAUCGGAAUUCUUGGUGUAGCGGUGAAAUGCGUAGAUAUCAAGAGGAACACCGGUGGCGAAGGCGGGUCUCUGGGCCGAUACUGACGCUGAGGAGCGAAGGCGUGGGGAGCGAACAGG
This 253-nucleotide ribosomal RNA is filed under the name uncultured bacterium. RNAcentral describes it as "partial 16S ribosomal RNA". It matches the Rfam family "Bacterial small subunit ribosomal RNA", at positions 524 to 776 of the family's 1533-position model. The record is from RNAcentral.